UAGGGAAUCUUCGGCAAUGGGGGGAACCCUGACCGAGCAACGCCGCGUGAGUGAAGAAGGUUUUCGGAUCCUAAAGCUCUGUUGUUAAGGAAGAACGAGUGUGAGAAUGGAAAGUUCAUGCUGUGACGGUACUUAACCAGAAAGGGACGGCUAACUACGUGCCAGCAGCCGCGGUAAUACGUAGGUCCCGAGCGUUGUCCGGAUUUAUUGGGCGUAAAGCGAGCGCAGGCGGUUAGAAAAGUCUGAAGUGAAAGGCAGUGGCUCAACCAUUGUAGGCUUUGGAAACUGUUUAACUUGAGUGCAGAAGGGGAGAGUGGAAUUCCAUGUGUAGCGGUGAAAUGCGUAGAUAUAUGGAGGAACACCGGUGGCGAAAGCGGCUCUCUGGUCUGUAACUGACGCUGAGGCUCGAAAGCGUGGGGAGCGAACAGG
Molecule: ribosomal RNA, 429 nt
Filed under: Bacteroidota bacterium
Lineage: Bacteria; Pseudomonadati; Bacteroidota
Description: Bacteroidetes bacterium partial 16S ribosomal RNA
Rfam family: Bacterial small subunit ribosomal RNA
Source: RNAcentral